RNAcentral lists this ribosomal RNA (294 nucleotides) under uncultured archaeon. RNAcentral describes it as "partial 16S ribosomal RNA". It matches the Rfam family "Archaeal small subunit ribosomal RNA", at positions 1 to 299 of the family's 1478-position model. The record is from RNAcentral.
GCCCUCCGGUUGAUCCUGGCGGAGGCCAUUGCUAUCGGUGUCCGAUUUAGCCAUGCGAGUUGUACGUUUACCGUAGCAAACUGCUCAGUAACACGUGGCCAAACUGCCCUAUGGACCGGAAUAACCUCGGGAAACUGAGGCUAAUUCCGGAUACCACAUUCAUCCUGGAACUGGAGAAUGUGCGAAAUGCUCCGGCGCCGAAGGAUGCGGCUGCGGCCGAUUAGGUAGACGGUGGGGUAACGGCCACCGUGCCGAUAAUCGGUACGGGUCAUGAGAGUGAGAGCCCGGAGACGG